ACAACUUCUCUCCAGUGCAAGCAAUUUGUCCGAGGCACCAGCGCAGUCAGAGAUAAACAGGAUGAUCAGGAUAAAGGAUGAAAGACCAGAAUUAAGAAGAAGAAGAAGAAGAAGAAAAAAAAGUGAUAUUAUGGGUCUGAAAUAAAGAAACUGUUGAUAGGAAAAAAUCAGAGACAGCUGGAUGUGCACACACUCUUUCCCAUCCACCUAAAUACUCCAGACCUGCUUCCCAACUCCUUUCCCGGAGAGGACUUCACUGAAAAUGUCCUUGUGGUUUGCCGUUUUAAGCCACAGGCCCAGGAGCUCCUGAAGCAUGCUGUGAGCAAACAGCCCAAUGCUGCAGGCAUCCCUGGAGCCUUGUUUGUACCUCAGCCUGGACGGGGGGUUCCUGAUCAUUCCAACAGAGUGUGAAAAUCCACUUUUGCUUGGUUACUCCCGAGGUGCGAGAGGGAAGAAGUCAACGUAAAAUGACGCAUAGGAGAGGCGCUGGGAUGGAGCGCUGCGAGGGAACUCUUUUCCUCUUGCACUGGAAAAACGUCUCUUUCAAGUCCUUUGGUAUUAUUAAUGAACUAUGAAACCCUUGUAAAGAACUUGGGUCCACGUGUUGCUGUUACUGCUGCUUGGUGGGGCAGCAUAGAGCUAUGUUUGCUGAGGGGUUAACAAAAGAUCUCUGACAUGUAUAUGCCAUUCCUCCCUUCCCAUCAAAUAGUGAGUUCAAUAUCUCUUCUCUGUAAUUCUCUCUGUUUAUAAUGCCUACCAUGUAUUAUCUCCUCAUAAUGUCUAUCUUUAUUAUUUCCUCUCUAUAACAAUAAAUAUAUUAGUUGGCAGGCUUCA
This 834-nucleotide long non-coding RNA is filed under the name Anser brachyrhynchus (Pink-footed goose). RNAcentral describes it as "lncRNA (ENSABRG00000006708.1)". The record is from RNAcentral. Lineage: Eukaryota; Metazoa; Chordata; Aves; Anseriformes; Anatidae.